UGGUGGAGUGAUUCGUCUGGUUGAUUCCGUUAACGAGCGAGACCAACAUUGCUUUCUAGGCGGAGUUUGUGGCUAAUGGUGAGGACGAUGGGCGGGGGCACUCCGGUGUCGUCACUCCUCGUUGAAUCCGUGUCAGCAAGCUCAACCUUCAUAGCGAGACAACCGGCAAAAAGCCGGAGGAGGUUGUUGGCGAUAACA
Molecule: ribosomal RNA, 198 nt
Filed under: uncultured eukaryote
Lineage: Eukaryota
Description: partial 18S ribosomal RNA
Rfam family: Eukaryotic small subunit ribosomal RNA
Source: RNAcentral